Molecule: ribosomal RNA, 731 nt
Filed under: uncultured Leptotrichia sp.
Lineage: Bacteria; Fusobacteriati; Fusobacteriota; Fusobacteriia; Fusobacteriales; Leptotrichiaceae
Description: bacterial SSU rRNA
Rfam family: Bacterial small subunit ribosomal RNA
Source: RNAcentral
GAUGAACGCUGACAGAAUGCUUAACACAUGCAAGUCUUUGGCGAAGCUGUGCUUGCACAGCCUAGCCAGGCGGACGGGUGAGUAACGCGUAAGGAACUUGCCCUGCAGUCAGGGAUAACAGACGGAAACGACUGAUAAGACCUGGUAAAGUCAGGCGGACUCAUGUCCAGCCUGAUGAAAAGAGAUGCUGCAGGAGAGCCUUGCGUCCUAUUAGCUUGUUGGUGGGGUAACGGCCCACCAAGGCGAUGAUAGGUAGCCGGCCUGAGAGGGUGGACGGCCACAAGGGGACUGAGAUACGGCCCUUACUCCUACGGGAGGCAGCAGUGGGGAAUAUUGGACAAUGGGGGCAACCCUGAUCCAGCAAUUCUGUGUGCACGAUGAAGGUUUUCGGAUUGUAAAGUGCUUUCAGCAGGGAAGAAAAAAAUGACGGUACCUGCAGAAGAAGCGACGGCUAAAUACGUGCCAGCAGCCGCGGUAAUACGUAUGUCGCAAGCGUUAUCCGGAAUUAUUGGGCAUAAAGGGCAUCUAGGCGGCCAGAUAAGUCUGGGGUGAAAACUUGCGGCUCAACCGCAAGCCUGCCCUGGAAACUAUGUGGCUAGAGUACUGGAGAGGUGGACGGAACUGCACGAGUAGAGGUGAAAUUCGUAGAUAUGUGCAGGAAUGCCGAUGAUGAAGAUAGUUCACUGGACGGUAACUGACGCUGAAGUGCGAAAGCUAGGGGAGCAAACAGG